CAGAUGGGAGCUUGCUCCCUGAUGUUAGCGGCGGACGGGUGAGUAACACGUGGGUAACCUGCCUGUAAGACUGGGAUAACUCCGGGAAACCGGGGCUAAUACCGGAUGCUUGUUUGAACCGCAUGGUUCAAACAUAAAAGGUGGCUUCGGCUACCACUUACAGAUGGACCCGCGGCGCAUUAGCUAGUUGGUGAGGUAACGGCUCACCAAGGCGACGAUGCGUAGCCGACCUGAGAGGGUGAUCGGCCACACUGGGACUGAGACACGGCCCAGACUCCUACGGGAGGCAGCAGUAGGGAAUCUUCCGCAAUGGACGAAAGUCUGACGGAGCAACGCCGCGUGAGUGAUGAAGGUUUUCGGAUCGUAAAGCUCUGUUGUUAGGGAAGAACAAGUGCCGUUCAAAUAGGGCGGCACCUUGACGGUACCUAACCAGAAAGCCACGGCUAACUACGUGCCAGCAGCCGCGGUAAUACGUAGGUGGCAAGCGUUGUCCGGAAUUAUUGGGCGUAAAGGGCUCGCAGGCGGUUUCUUAAGUCUGAUGUGAAAGCCCCCGGCUCAACCGGGGAGGGUCAUUGGAAACUGGGGAACUUGAGUGCAGAAGAGGAGAGUGGAAUUCCACGUGUAGCGGUGAAAUGCGUAGAGAUGUGGAGGAACACCAGUGGCGAAGGCGACUCUCUGGUCUGUAACUGACGCUGAGGAGCGAAAGCGUGGGGAGCGAACAGGAUUAGAUACCCUGGUAGUCCACGCCGUAAACGAUGAGUGCUAAGUGUUAGGGGGUUUCCGCCCCUUAGUGCUGCAGCUAACGCAUUAAGCACUCCGCCUGGGGAGUACGGUCGCAAGACUGAAACUC
This 850-nucleotide ribosomal RNA is filed under the name Bacillus subtilis. RNAcentral's name for it is "bacterial SSU rRNA". It matches the Rfam family "Bacterial small subunit ribosomal RNA", at positions 69 to 902 of the family's 1533-position model. The record is from RNAcentral. Lineage: Bacteria; Bacillati; Bacillota; Bacilli; Caryophanales; Bacillaceae.